CACUAAUGUAAGUUUUCACAUUGUAAAAUUCUUAAAAUAAUUUCUUCUUCUUCUUCUUCUUCUUCUUCUUAUUAUUAUUAUUAUAGUGUGUACAGUUCUGUAAUAAUAUCAGGAGCGUGCUAAAUCUGCUUAAAGUUGUUUUUUGUUUUGUUUUUUGAGGAUGAAUUAAGCAAGUGUUUCCAUUAGCUGGAAUUAUGUGUGUGUGUGCAUGUGUGUGUAUGUGAGUAUGUGCGUGUGUGUGUGUGCGCGUUUGUGUGUGUGUGUGUGUGUGAGUGUGUGCGUGCAUGUGCGCGCGUGUGUGUGUGUGUGCAUGUGUGUGUGUGUGUGUGUGUGUGCGUGUGUACAUGUGUGUGUGUGCGUGUGUGUGUUUGUGUGUGUGUGUGUGUGUGUGUGCAUGUGUGUGACUGUUAUUUCAGCUCACCAUCUCAUAAAUUGUACUCCAUCUGAAAGCGAUAUUCUGAAACCAUAUCGUUGGAAAAAGCCGAAACUUGACGCCAUUUAUUUUCUCAGAGUUUUGUUUAAAGCAGACCGCAGAGCUCGAGUUAAAAAAAAACAACAUCAGGACAAAAGUGUGUAUUUCAUUCCACUCGCUUCCCUCACACAGGAACACUGCAGUUCAUCUGAGUUUCAUUACCAACUUCCCACAGCACAACACACCACAGUACAGCACAGACCACCCGCUCACACACUACCUCCUGCCACCUCCUGUACUCAUACUGCUACUCCUACUACUGCUACUUCUACUCAUACUGCUACUACUCAUACUGAUACUUCUACUACUUCUACUUCUACUCAUACUGCUACUACUCAUACUGCUACUCCUACUACUGCUACUUCUACUCAUACUGCUACUACUCAUACUGAUACUUCUACUACUUCUACUUCUACUACUUCUACUUCUACUACUGCUACUUCUACUACUUCUACUUCUACUCAUACUGCUACUACUCAUACUGCUACUACUCAUACUGAUACUUCUACUCAUACUUCUACUACUCAUACUGCUACUACUCAUACUGAUACUUCUACUACUGCUACUUCUACUACUUCUACUUCUACUCAUACUGCUACUACUCAUACUGCUACUACUCAUACUGCUACUUCUACUCAUACUGCUACUACUCAUACUGCUACUUCUACUACUGCUACUUCUACUCAUACUGCUACUUCUACUUGUACUCAUGCUGCUACUACUACUGCUACUUCUACUACUCAUACUGCUACUUCUACUUUUACUUCUACUACUCAUACUGCUACUACUACUGCUACUUCUAGUGCUGCUCCUACUACUAUUGUUACUGCUACUCAUACUGUGUGUGUGUGUGUGUGUGUGUGUGUGUGUGUGUGUGUGUGUGUGUGUGUGUGUGUGUGUGUGUGUGUGUGUUUGGGAAGUGUAGUUAUCAGCCAUGUUUGUAGUUAGUGGUGCAUUCUGGGAAAUGUAGGCGCUGGCUUGUGAUGACAUGACAACUUUACAGUUAUUUACUUGAUUUAAAGGUAUUUAGUUUUCUGAUAUUUAUUUUAACAUACACUCCUUCCAGUACUUUAAGUUAUAUAUAUGUAAAUUAUGCAAGUAAGUUAGUGUGUAAUGUUAUUAAAAUGCAUAUAUUCUCUAAAAGCUGAAAGUCCACGCUGUGCAAAUAAAAAUGUGCUAUUUUUAUCCAUUUCUCGAUACCCGAGGCUUUAAUAUAUAUGCUACUACACAAGUUAUUGACAUCAGUUCAGCUAAAUCUGUUAAAUCUACAGCUAAACUAAUAAUUGACAUAAAUUGAAUUAAACUAUUAGCGACAUGCAGAUGAGAAUUAUGGAUUGUAGCAGUGUGAAGGUUAAGCUGAAUUUUCAUUAGCCUUAACUAAAUUGGAUUUGUAGUGCAGCCAGGAAACAAUAACAAACCGUGUGACAAAACAAAUGUGUUCACACUUAAUUUAGCUUGUUCAAAGCGUCUCUGUGACACGUGUGUGUGUGUGUGUGUGUGUGUGUGUGUGUGUGUGUGUGUGUGUGUGUGCGUGUGUGUGUGUCAAGGUCAUGCCUACAUGCUUCAGGACAGAAGGCAGGCGAGAGCAGCUGAAUUAACCGAGUGUAACCUGAGCUGAGGAGUAAAAUAUUUACUGAGGCCUCAAGGCCGAGAAAAAAUAAUACAGCACACAUGUGCUUUCCUCAGAAUUAAAUUUACAACUAAUUUUAGAAUGACGGUACUUUGCUCCUGUACUGGUCAAUCUGUAUCGACUGUAAAUACUACUAUACUGUAUUCUGUACAUAAAAUUUAAAUGCUUUAUAUUUAGCUUACUAACAUUAGAAGGAAUUUAAUUAAAAGUUAAAUCAAAUAAAAUAAAAUUCUCCUGUAGUGAAGUUAAAUAAAUAUUUAU
This is a long non-coding RNA of Ictalurus punctatus (channel catfish), 2363 nucleotides long. The record is from Ensembl. Lineage: Eukaryota; Metazoa; Chordata; Actinopteri; Siluriformes; Ictaluridae.